AAUAAUUUGUCAAACAAGAUUAUUCGCCAGAGAACUACUAGCAACAGCUUAAAACUCAAAGGACUUGGCGGUGCUUUAAACCCCCCUAGAGGAGCCUGUUCUGUAAUCGAUAAACCCCGAUAGACCUCACCACCCCUUGCUAAUUCAGUUUAUAUACCGCCAUCUUCAGCAAACCCUUAAAAGGAACAAGAGUAAGCAUAAUCAUCUCGCAUAAAAAAGUUAGGUCAAGGUGUAACCCAUGGGGUGGGAAGAAAUGGGCUACAUUUUCUAUUUAAGAACACCUUACGAAAGUUUUUAUGAAACUAAAAACUAAAGGUGGAUUUAGUAGUAAACCAAGAAUAGAGAGCUUGGUUGAAUA
RNAcentral lists this ribosomal RNA (358 nucleotides) under Melursus ursinus (sloth bear). RNAcentral describes it as "partial small subunit ribosomal RNA". It matches the Rfam family "Bacterial small subunit ribosomal RNA", at positions 846 to 1368 of the family's 1533-position model. The record is from RNAcentral. Lineage: Eukaryota; Metazoa; Chordata; Mammalia; Carnivora; Ursidae.